RNAcentral lists this ribosomal RNA (270 nucleotides) under uncultured archaeon. RNAcentral's name for it is "partial 16S ribosomal RNA". It matches the Rfam family "Archaeal small subunit ribosomal RNA", at positions 477 to 747 of the family's 1478-position model. The record is from RNAcentral.
CAGCAGCCCGAGUGGUGGUCGUUUUUAUUGGGCCUAAAGCGUCCGUAGCCGGUCUAGUAAAUCCUUGGAUAAAUCGUACAGCUUAACUGUACGGCUCCCGGGGAGACUGCUAGACUUGGGACUGGGAGAGGUCGGAGGUACUCCAGGGGUAGGGGUGAAAUCUUGUAAUCCUUGGGGGACCACCAGUGGCGAAGGCGUCCGACUAGAACGGGUCCGACGAUAAGGGACGAAACCCUGGGGCGCGAACCGGAUUAGAGACCCGAGUAGUCC